RNAcentral lists this ribosomal RNA (464 nucleotides) under Vreelandella stevensii. Its description in RNAcentral is "partial 16S ribosomal RNA". It matches the Rfam family "Bacterial small subunit ribosomal RNA", at positions 338 to 795 of the family's 1533-position model. The record is from RNAcentral. Lineage: Bacteria; Pseudomonadati; Pseudomonadota; Gammaproteobacteria; Oceanospirillales; Halomonadaceae.
CCUACGGGCGGCAGCAGUGGGGAAUAUUGGACAAUGGGCGAAAGCCUGAUCCAGCCAUGCCGCGUGUGUGAAGAAGGCCUUCGGGUUGUAAAGCACUUUCAGUGGGGAAGAAAGCCUUGGGGCUAAUACCCUCGAGGAAGGACAUCACCCACAGAAGCAGCACCGGCUAACUCCGUGCCAGCAGCCGCGGUAAUACGGAGGGUGCGAGCGUUAAUCGGAAUUACUGGGCGUAAAGCGCGCGUAGGCGGUCUGAUAAGCCGGUUGUGAAAGCCCCGGGCUCAACCUGGGAACGGCAUCCGGAACUGUCAGGCUAGAGUGCAGGAGAGGAAGGUAGAAUUCCCGGGGUAGCGGUGAAAUGCGUAGAGAUCGGGAGGAAUACCAGUGGCGAAGGCGGCCUUCUGGACUGACACUGACGCUGAGGUGCGAAAGCGUGGGUAGCAAACAGGAUUAGAUACCGUGUAGUC